Molecule: ribosomal RNA, 449 nt
Filed under: uncultured bacterium
Lineage: Bacteria
Description: partial 16S ribosomal RNA
Rfam family: Bacterial small subunit ribosomal RNA
Source: RNAcentral
AACGAACGCUGGCGGCAUGCCUAACACAUGCAAGUCGAACGAGAUCUUCGGGUCUAGUGGCGCACGGGUGCGUAACGCGUGGGAAUCUGCCCUUUGGUUCGGAAUAACAGUUGGAAACGACUGCUAAUACCGGAUGAUGACGAAAGUCCAAAGAUUUAUCGCCAGAGGAGUAGCCCGCGUAGGAUUAGCUAGUUGGUGUGGUAAAGGCGCACCAAGGCGACGAUCCUUAGCUGGUCUGAGAGGAUGAUCAGCCACACUGGGACUGAGACACGGCCCAGACUCCUACAGGAGGCAGCAGUGGGGAAUAUUGGAAAAUGGGCGAAAGCCUGAUCCAACAAUGCCGAGUGAGUGAUGAAGGCCUUAGGGUUGUAAAGCUCUUUUACACGGGAUGAUAAUGACAGUACCGGGAGAAUAAGCUCCGGCUAACUCCGUGCCAGCCGCCGCCGUAA